This is a long non-coding RNA of Uranotaenia lowii, 700 nucleotides long. RefSeq lists it as uncharacterized. Lineage: Eukaryota; Metazoa; Arthropoda; Insecta; Diptera; Culicidae. The record is from RefSeq and is a predicted model, not a curated record. The transcript has 2 exons.
GGUUCCAACAAAACGUUUUGUUAUUUUAUUUUGUUUUUUAAAAGCAGAUUUUUCGAUAACUUUCACAAAGAUUUGGAAUAUAGAUAAACGAAAAAUUUUGUUAUUUUUACACGCUCAUUUUUUAUUGCAUAAAAUUAAAAUUUGGUUUAUUUGAAAUCCAAUAUUAGGUUUAUUCGAUAAGCGUGUAACUCAAAAACGAUAACUUAAAAAAAAAGAAAGAAAAAAGUUUUCAGCGCAUCCGAAACACAACAGCGGAAAAUUUACGGACACGGAAAGCAGCUUUAAAGAUACUUCGACCCAAAACGUUCCGCCUUCCUUUUCCACCCACUGCUGCUCAACUGGUGGCGAUCGAGCUACUGGGUUCGAUCAAGUUAGGCUCCCGGUUGGCGUAGGUGUUGGCCGUCGGGGAACGCUUCGGCUCGUCCAGGACGAUACCUUCGUCUCUAUUCCGCGCAUCUGGUUCACGAUGAACAUCACCACCACCAAGGCGAAGAGCAGACCGACCACGGCCAUCCCGAUGACAGCCGUUAGGAUGUUCGUCUGCCCAAAGAAGCUCGUGGUUCAGUCGCAGUCGUGCCCGUCCGUCGGCGUAAUAUGCUGGUUUGGCUCAGAUCCAGGCCGUUCCUAAACAACUCUACCGUCUACCGAUCGAGAAUAAUUAAAUAAUUUUGAGAAAUUCAAUACAAACCUUUUAAACAUG